UAUAGCACGAGGGUUCCACCUCUUCCCAUUCCGAACAGAGAAGUUAAGCCUCGUCACGCCGAUGGUACUGCGUAACAGUGGGAGAGUAGGUAGCCGCCGUUUU
RNAcentral lists this ribosomal RNA (103 nucleotides) under Bacteroides finegoldii DSM 17565. Lineage: Bacteria; Pseudomonadati; Bacteroidota; Bacteroidia; Bacteroidales; Bacteroidaceae. The record is from RNAcentral.